UACAUACUCCCUCCGUUUGAAAAACCUUGUCCCUUAAAUGAAUGUAUCUAGCAUUAACUUGAUGAUAGCUAGAUACAUUCAUUUGAGGGAUAAGCUUUUUCGAACGGAGAGAGUACACA
Non-coding RNA from Triticum urartu, 119 nucleotides. Lineage: Eukaryota; Viridiplantae; Streptophyta; Magnoliopsida; Poales; Poaceae. The record is from Rfam.